CCCUUAGAUGUUCUGGGCAGCACGCGCGCUACAAUGGUCUUCGCAAACGGAUGCAUUCUCGAAGGAGAAUGCCAAUCUUGGAAUCUAUGCCUUGGUCGGGACAGUUGCUUGCAAUUUUUCGACUCGAACCAGGAAUUCCUUGUAAUCGUGAUUCAUCACAUCACGAUGAAUACGUCCCUGCCCUUUGUACACACCGCCCGUCGCUCGUACCGAUCGAAGAGUUAGGUGAAUUGUUUUGAUCGAUAAGAUUUGACUAUGGUCAACUCUCGUUGUGAAAUUCUGUGAAUCUGACUGUUUAGAGGAAGGAAAAGUCGUAACA
This 319-nucleotide ribosomal RNA is filed under the name uncultured eukaryote. RNAcentral describes it as "partial 18S ribosomal RNA". It matches the Rfam family "Eukaryotic small subunit ribosomal RNA", at positions 1470 to 1796 of the family's 1831-position model. The record is from RNAcentral.